RNAcentral lists this long non-coding RNA (893 nucleotides) under Helianthus annuus (common sunflower). Lineage: Eukaryota; Viridiplantae; Streptophyta; Magnoliopsida; Asterales; Asteraceae. The record is from RNAcentral.
UUGCUUCCCCAAAUUGCCUGCCACCCACUCACACAUUCUAGAUUCUGAGAUCCAGAGAGAGGGAUUGGAGAAGAGAUGGGAGAGACGGAGUAGGCUGCUGCCAUGUCUUCGACGGCAGCGACGGUGACGAGAUGGAGAGAGGCAGAGUAGGAAGACCUAACGAGGACUGUAACAGUCCACACAAGAAUCGUGGAUGGCAAAUCUGUCGUGAGGUUUCUGCAAAAGCUGCAGCCGGUAGACUGGUAGAGGCGGCGGUGUCGCCGACUCCUCCGCCACGUCAUCCACAGUCGUGAAGAUUGGCACGAUAUCGCAACUUCUUUCCGGAGAUAUUGCCGGACCUUUUAGCAAAACAUGUAUGGCUUCUCUCGCACACCUCACUAUUCGGUUUCAGUUGGCUUUGGAGGUGGUCUUUGAACUCCAGUAAGAGCUAGGCGCAUAAAGUGAAAUUGAAAGAAAAUGUGCAUUGACUGAAAUGAAUGGGAUAUAUUGUUCAACUAGACUUAUGCGAACCAGUGCGGAAACAACAAAGAAGCCUGCAAUCUUCCAAGAAAAAUAUGUUGCACCAAAAGAUCUGAGUUGGAACCGCUGCAUGCAUCGGCAGAUUGACAACCGGGAAUGGUGAUAUAUGUUAAUUGGGGAUUUCCGACCAAUUAUGUCAAUUUUAUUAUUUAUGUUGAUAUAUGUUAAUCAGUUGUGUCGAUUAAUUUUAUUAGCAAAUCGAACGAUACUUAAUGAAACCCGCUGUGAAGCAGGUUAUUACCGAUUUUUUGAGUCUGAUUUGAUUUGAUCUAAGCCUUGUAAUUUUUUCCAUAGAUCGUGUUAUGUUAUCAAACUGAACGAUUUGAUUUAGCGUGCCGCAACGCGCGCGGGGUAUUAAACUAGUUUCAAUAGUA